UACGUAGGGUGCGAGCGUUGUCCGGAAUUACUGGGCGUAAAGCGUGCGCAGGCGGUGAUGUAAGACAGAUGUGAAAAUCCCCGGGCGUCAACCUGGGAACGUGCCUUUGUUGACUGCAUAGCUAGAGUACGGCAGAGGGGGAGUGAAUUCCGCGUGUAGCAGUGAAAUGCGUAGAUAUGCGGAGGAACACCGAUGGCGAAGGCAAU
Molecule: ribosomal RNA, 206 nt
Filed under: uncultured bacterium
Lineage: Bacteria
Description: partial 16S ribosomal RNA
Rfam family: Bacterial small subunit ribosomal RNA
Source: RNAcentral